GGAUUAGAUACCCUGGUAGUCCACGCCGUAAACGAUGGAUACUCGCUGGUGGCGAUAGACGGUCACUGGCUUAGCGAAAGCGUUAAGUAUCCCACCUGGGGAGUACGCCCGCAAGGGUGAAACUCAAAAGAAUUGACGGGGGCCCGCACAAGUGGUGGAGCAUGUGGUUUAAUUCGAUGAUACGCGAGGAACCUUACCUAGGCUAGAAUGCGCGUGACCGCCUCAGAGAUGAGGCUUUCCUUCGGGACACAAAGCAAGGUGCUGCAUGGCCGUCGUCAGCUCGUGCCG
RNAcentral lists this ribosomal RNA (288 nucleotides) under uncultured bacterium. RNAcentral's name for it is "partial 16S ribosomal RNA". It matches the Rfam family "Bacterial small subunit ribosomal RNA", at positions 775 to 1067 of the family's 1533-position model. The record is from RNAcentral.